CCGACCUGAGAGGGUGAUCGGCCACACUGGAACUGAGACACGGUCCAGACUCCUACGGGAGGCAGCAGUAGGGAAUCUUCCGCAAUGGGCGAAAGCCUGACGGAGCAACGCCGCGUGAGUGAUGAAGGUCUUCGGAUCGUAAAGCUCUGUUGUUAGGGAAGAACAAAUGUGUAAGUAACUGUGCACAUCUUGACGGUACCUAACCAGAAAGCCACGGCUAACUACGUGCCAGCAGCCGCGGUAAUACGUAGGUGGCAAGCGUUAUCCGGAAUUAUUGGGCGUAAAGCGCGCGUAGGCGGUUUUUUAAGUCUGAUGUGAAAGCCCACGGCUCAACCGUGGAGGGUCAUUGGAAACUGGAAAACUUGAGUGCAGAAGAGGAAAGUGGAAUUCCAUGUGUAGCGGUGAAAUGCGCAGAGAUAUGGAGGAACACCAGUGGCGAAGGCGGCUUUCUGGUCUGCAACUGACGCUGAUGUGCGAAAGCGUGGGGAUCAAACAGGAUUAGAUACCCUGGUAGUCCACGCCGUAAACGAUGAGUGCUAAGUGUUAGG
Molecule: ribosomal RNA, 548 nt
Filed under: Staphylococcus pseudintermedius
Lineage: Bacteria; Bacillati; Bacillota; Bacilli; Caryophanales; Staphylococcaceae
Description: bacterial SSU rRNA
Rfam family: Bacterial small subunit ribosomal RNA
Source: RNAcentral